This is a long non-coding RNA of Pogona vitticeps (central bearded dragon), 2354 nucleotides long. NCBI's taxonomy places the organism in Eukaryota, Metazoa, Chordata, Lepidosauria, Squamata, Agamidae. The record is from Ensembl.
UUAUUGCAGUUCGGUGGUUCAGCCUGGUGAAGGGGGCCAGGCUCACAGGCGUUACGAGGGUGCCCCGCAUUCUGCCUCCUCCAUCCUCCCACAGACACCGUCAGAAACCGCAGCCCUGCCCCACCGCUUCCUCCUCUGAAUGGGCGACCAUGUGUAUCUGCGUAGCUGUGGAGCCAGAGCCGGGAAGCAGAGAUGGGCACUUAUUGCAGUUCGGUGGUUCAGCCUGGUGAAGGGGGCCAGGCUCACAGGCGUUACGAGGGUGCCCCGCAUUCUGCCUCCUCCAUCCUCCCACAGACACCGUCAGAAACCGCAGCCCUGCCCCACCGCUUCCUCCUCUGAAUGGGCGACCAUGGGAGGAAGUGGGGUGUGGAAUUCUAGGCAACCCCUGCGGGCCUCAUCCUCCAAACUCUGUCGAACUAUCGAGCCACCAGAAGUGCCCACCUCGAGCUGGGAGUUCAGCUCCAGCAGAAGAGAAGGGGAAGCCACUUUUGAGGACUCUCGGUCUGGAAAAACCCUGAAAAAGAUCACCAUAAAUUGGAAUUGACUUGAUGGCACUAUUAUUGUUGUUGUUAAGCUGGCCUCUUUUCACCCGAGUCAUAGAUUCAUAGAGUCCUAGAAUAUUGGAGUCGGAAGGGGCCUCUAAGGCCAUCAAGCCCAACCCCCUGCUCAAGGCAGGAGCCCAAAUCAAAACAGAUCUGACAGACGGUGGUCCAAUUUUCUCUUGAAGGCCUCCAGCGCUGGAGCGCUCACCACCUCCUGAGGUCAUGGGUUCCCAUUGUUGUACUGCUCUGCUGAGACGGUUUUCCUGAUAUUCAGCCUAAAAUCUGGCUUCCUGUAACUUGAGCCCAUUAUGACCUGUCCUGCACUUUGGGAGGGUUGAGAGCAGAUCCUGCCCCUCCUAUGUUUGACCGACUGUCUUUCAAGUCUUGGGAAAGUGCUCUCCUGCCACCCCUCCGGCUUCUUCUCUCAAGCCAAUGGUCAGGCCAAUGGCCGGCCGCAAGGCGUCCUUCAGGCAUGUGGGACGGUCGGAAGCGCUCUUCUCCUGAGGCAGCCUUAUCUGUCCCUUCACUCAGCCACGCCAAGGCCAGUGGGCAGCAGUGGUUUUCUCGUAUACAUGACCUGCGCUCAAGAUGGUUCUUCCGGAGGAUCCUCUAUGUGUCCCCCACCUUGCAAAACCAGUUCUCGAUCUGCCUGGGACAACUGCUAGUUGGCUCCUGCCAGUGCAUUUCAGCAACGGAUGCGGAAUGGCUGGAGGAAAGGAGAACACGCUCCUCUCUUGCAAAUGCCAGUGGAAAGAUCCCGGAACAAAAGCAGUCAUGCUCAUACCACUUAGGGACAUGGUUUUAAUAAAAGUUACAACCAGAUAGUAAAUGUACAAACCAACAUGCUAGGUAGGAUAUGCAAUUUACUUGGCAGCCCCAUCUCCCACCUUCUUCAACCAGCAGCAAUCCCUGCCCUUCCCAAGACAGAUGCCUUUUCACGUUUAAACUGGACAGUAGUGACCGUCUCCCUUUUUGUGCAAAGCACUUGUGCAAAAACAAAACAAAAAGUCAUUUUCAUCAGUCUAAGAAACACACUCUCCAAAAUGGAAAUAAUAACCAAAGAUACCCAGAAAAGAAGAUAAAUGCAUGUGCAUGUAUGUGGAUCUAUAUGGAUGCAUCUCCCUUCUCCUAUCUCUGAAAGCAAUUAACAAACCGAGGGCUGUCACUUUGGUCAAGGGUGCAAGAUUUAAACGAUCUGGAAGCAUUUUUGGGUGCCUCACUCCUGAGCGGAAAAGGACUCGCAGCCCUGAUGAGGUGGGAAUUCACCUAUACUGAAUUUGAACCCACACUCAACUGUGCCAUGGCUGUUUUUCGCAUGAUGCCCUCGACAUGCGUUUUCUAGUAGUUCUGGUGUAGCGCAAAGCUUUUCUGAAGGUCCCCAAGACAUAGCAAGUUUCAGACCCAAGAGGCCUGGAGCAAAACAAUUUCCCAAGGUGAUGGUGGAUUACAUCACCUGUCCAGGGCACUCUGGCUUUACUAAAAUCACCUCCUCACAUCUCCCAGAUACCAUUGUGAGAAGUGGCUCUAAGCCCAAAAUGGAAGUCAACAGGAAGAGCUCUGUGGCACAAACCGUAUCUAUAAAGAUGGCUCCUGUGCAAGGGAGCAAACCUUCAGCCUGGUUUUGACGGGCUGCCGUGUUGCCCCAUAAGCUUUUACUGUAGCAUCAAACCCCUUGUUUUGAGAUCCACUUCCAGCCUUUAUCACAAUCACCCAGAUGCCUUACACUUUAUUAAAAAAAGAGAAAGAAUUCUUUUGAACAAACAGCCUUACUUAAAAAAAUAAAAACCACAUACAAAAGGAUUAGAAAAUUCA